CUGACUUCUACAAGGGGGCUGAAACCAUUCAAUGUGGAAAGAAUAGUCUCAGCAAAUGGUGCUGGGACAGCUGGAUAUCCACAUGCAAAAAGAAUGAGGCCGGAGCCCUCGUACCAUAUACCUCAUAACACAAAUUACCACAAAUUGACCAACAACCUAAAUGUUAGGAGCUAAAACCAAAACUCUUAGAAGAAAACAUAGGAGUAAAUCUUCAUGACCUUCGAUCAUGAGGGUCCUUAGGCUCAACAAUAAAAGUAUGAGCAACAACAAAAAUCUAUAUAUAAACUACUCUUCAUCAAAACUUAAAACUUCUGUGCCUCAAAGGAUGCCAUCAAGGAAGUGACAUGACAACCUGUGGAGUGGAGGAAACAUGCAAAUCAUACCUGAUCAGAGACCCGCGUCUAAAAUAAAGAGCUCUGACAACUGAACAAUAAAAAGACAAACAACCCAGUUCAGACAUGGGCAAAUCAUACCUGAUCAGAGACCCAUAUCUAAAAUAAAGAGCUCUGACAACUAAACAAUAAAAAGACAACCCAAUUCAGACAGGGGCAAAGGACCUAAAAAGACAUUUCUGCAAGGAAGAUAUGCAAAUGGCCAGUAAUCACACCGAAAAGAUCCUUGACAUCAUUAGUCAGCAGGGAAAUGCACAUCAAAACCACUAGGAUGGCGGGAAUUAAAAAGUCAGAUAAUAAUAAGCAUUGGUGAGGACGUGGAGAGAUCAGAACCCUCUACGCUGCUGGUGGGACUGUAAAGUGGUACAGCUGCUCUGGAAAACAGUCUGGCAGUUCCUUAAAGGAUUAAACCAAUAGUUACCGCAUGACCCAGUAAUUGCACUCCUAGGUAUAUACCCAAGAGAAAUGAAAACCUAUGUCCACAUGAGGUCCUGUACACAAAUAUUUAUAGCAGCACAGCACAAAAGCCAGAAAGUAGAAACCACCAAAGUGUCAAUCAACUAACGAAAGGAAAAGUGGCCGGGCGCGGUGGCUCACGCCUGUAAUCCCAGCACUUUGGGAGGCCGAGGCGGGCAGAUCACCAGGUCAGGCGUUCGAGACAAGUCUGGCCAACGCGGUGAAACCCCGUCUCUACUAAAAAUACAAAAAUUAGCUGGGCGUGGUGGCGGGCGCCUGUAGUCCCAGCUCCUCAGGAGGCUGAGGCAGGAGAAUCGCUUGAACCCGGGAGGUGGAGUUUGCAGUGAGGUGAGAUCGCGCCACUGCACUGCAGCCUGGGAGACAGAACUAGACUCCGUCUCAAAAAAAAAAAAAAAAGAAAGAAAGAAAAGAAAGGAUAAGCAAAACAUGGUAUAUCCACUCAAUGGAACACGAUUCAACCAUAAAACAAGGACGCAUGCUGCAUGCUACAACAUGGAUGAAUCUUGAAAACAUGCUAAGUGGAAGAAGCCAGACACAGAAGACUCUAUGUACUAUGAUUCCAUUCAUAUGAAAGUCCAGCAGAGGGAGCUCUCUAGUGACAGAAAGUACAUUAGCGGUUGCUCAGGACUGGAGGGUGGAGGGGAUGGGGAAGGCAGUAACAGCUAAAAGGUACAAGGUUUCUUUCUGAGGUCACGAAAAUGUUCUAAAAUUGUGCUGAUGGAUGCCUGUAUCUGUGAAUAUGCUUAAAACCAAUAAAUUGUACACUUUGGGUGAAUUUUAUGUUAUAUGAAUUAUCUCAAUAAUGCCUGCUUUAAAAAAGUUAUGUGCAGGCCAGGCACGGUGGCUCAUGCCUGUAAUCCCAGCACUUUGGGAGGCUGAGGCAGGUGGAUCACUUGAGGUCAGGAGUUCGAGACCAGCCUGGCCAACAUAGGGAAACCCUGUCUCUACUAAAAAUACAAAAAUUAGCCAGGCAUGGUGGCACACGCCUAUAAUCCCAGCUAUUCAGGAGGCUGAGGCAGAAGAAUUGCUUGAACCCAGGAGGCGGAGGCUGCAGCGAGCCGAGAUCGCACCAUUGCACUCCAGCCUGGGUGACAGGGUAAGACUCCAUCUCAAAAAAAAAAAAAAAAAGGCCGGGCGCGGUGGCUCACAUCUGUAAUCCCAGCACUUUGGGAGGCCGAGGCAGGUGGAUCACAAGUUCAGGAGAUCGAGACCAUCCUGGCUAACAUGGUGAAACCCCAUCUCUACUAAAAAUACAAAAAAUUAGCCGGGCGCAGUGGCAGGCGCCUGUAGUCCCAGCUACUCAGGAGGCUGAGGCAGGAGAAUGGCAUGAACCCAGGAGGCGGAGCUUGCAGUGAGCCAAGAUCGCCCCACUGCACUCCAGCCUGGGCGACAGAGUGAGACUCCAUCUCAAAAAAAAAAAAAAAAAGUAACGUGCAGAACAGUGUUUUCAGUAUGUUGUCUUUUGUGUAGGAAAAUGGAGAAGGGAAAUACAAAUUUUGUCCUCAUUUUAAUAAAGAAAUGAAACUAAUAAGAUGGUUCACUAAAUGAGGAGGGAAAGAACUGCAUAAUGGGACUGGAGAUCGGCGAGGCUUCUCUGAAUGAACCUUGUUUUACAGUUUUGACUUUAGAACCAAAAAAAAGGUUUUAAAAACAAUAAAAAGAAAAGGCAACACCUAAAAAUUGAAAACAUACUGAAAUAAGUAAACCUAGUUAUCAUGUGGAUGGCAUAACCACACAGGAAAAAAAUAUCAUUGCAAGCGAUUUUAAUAAGAGUAGUCUGUUCACCCCUAAUGGAAUAUGGUCUAAGGAUAAAAAGCAUCGCCAAGGAAUGUUAGGCUAUACUCAGUGAUCUUAAUGUUAGUAGUAAUACCUGAAUUGUUAUUUUGAAAUGAUUGCAUGUAUAUGGUAGGAUAAAGAAAAUAAUUGUUAACGCCACCAAGAUUUUCAGUGUAAAGAAUUAAAAAUAUAAAAUGAAAGAAGUUAAAAAUCUUGUUUGUUUUGGCUGGGCGCAGUGGCUCACACCUGUAAUCCCAGCACUUUGGGAGGCUGAAACGGGCAGUUGACUUGAGGUCAGGAGUUUGAAUCCAGCCUGGACAACAUGGUGAAACCCCGUCUCUACUAAAAUACAAAAAUUAGCCAGGCAUGGUGGUGCGCGCCUGUAGUACCAGCUACUCGGGAGGCUGAGGUGGGAGAAUCACUUGAACCCAGGAGGCAGAGGUUACAGUGAGCUGAGAUCGCGACACUGCACUCCAGCCUGGGCAACAGAGCAAGACUCCAUCUCAAAAUAAAUAAAUAAAAUCUUGUUUGUCUUUUGAUUCUGUUAAUUUGAAAUGGAAAUAUUAGUAUGAACUCAUAAUGUGUUUAUUUUUUAAAGAAGCCUAAUUUUCUAGUUCUGUUCAUUGAAAGGCCUGAAGCUGUGACAUCCCAUAAUAGGGAGCGGUGUGAGUGCCAGGCUGUGGGCUCUAGAUCUCGUUCUCACCAAGAAGCCAGUGAUCUUUGGAGAAAUGGGUGAUUCCAAGACUGAAGCAGGAUGUGGACAAAAUAAGCCCAGGACAUGUUGUGUAAAAAGCAAGCAAGCUUUCAAAACAGCAGACCAUGUCCUGAGGGCGGGGAGCCAACCUGAAGGGCUCCCGCUGUCCAAAGACAGAAUAAAUUGAGCAUCAGGAAAACAACUGACAGCAAUGGACGGAAGCCCAUGAAAUAUACCAAUAUCUCUGUGUUCAUCGUGAUGCUCAGAAAGAAGAAGCAACCUAGUGGGCAACUUUGGAGCUUGCUGAGGACCAACUCGGUCUGCAGGCACACAAGCAAAGGAGCAGGGUGGAGCCUUCACGCUGCCGUGCCUGUGUGGACCAGUCCAGGGUGACCACGGGGUAGGUGAGGGAAAGCCUGUCUUCACAGACCACUCUCCAGCUGGUGAGGGCAGGAGCGACAGGGACAGACACAGGUCUGUGAGAGGACAGCCCUUGGAUCAGGGAUCUCGAUGUCUUGCUCGAGCCAUCAGGUGCAAGGCCCGUGGGGACUUUUUUCUGGGUUGGUCAGGCUGCCAGCACUGGACCAGUGACCAGUCCUCGUGUCACUCGAGUGGGACUUGGACACAUCACAGGCCGCCUGGGCUGGCUGGGGGUGCACACGCAUCCCUGGGCAGCAGCCCUGCAAAGACCAUCUGAACCUAAAUCCUAUCAAGCACCUCUCUCUAGUGAGAGUUCACAGGAAACACAGGGGUGGGAUCAAGUGAGCAGUAAGUCACAUCCAUUAGAGCACCAGGAGGGACCUCAGGAUCCAAGCAGCAGAAACCGUGUUCAGGGGCAAAGCCAGCAAGGGUCGGGGUGGGGAGGGGCCACAGGCCAGUGGGGGCUCAGCACUGAAGGCCCCGCUCCUCCCUCCCUCUCCCUCCUCCUUCUCCUCCUCCUUGUUUUUGUUUGUCUUCCUUCCUUCCAGUAAUGAGGUCAGGGCCGAGCACACUGCGGCCUGUCUCCUCACCUCUGCUCUCUC
RNAcentral lists this long non-coding RNA (4361 nucleotides) under Homo sapiens (human). RNAcentral's name for it is "HSALNT0049865". The stretch from base 1700 to 1816 matches the Rfam family "Metazoan signal recognition particle RNA". Lineage: Eukaryota; Metazoa; Chordata; Mammalia; Primates; Hominidae. The record is from RNAcentral.